GUGGUAUUGGUCUAGGGGUUAUGAUUUGUGGCUUCCAACCAUGAGACAUCGGUUCGAAUCCGAUAUACCACA
Molecule: transfer RNA, 72 nt
Filed under: Bacillus phage vB_BanS-Tsamsa
Lineage: Duplodnaviria; Heunggongvirae; Uroviricota; Caudoviricetes
Rfam family: tRNA
About the family: Transfer RNA (tRNA) molecules are approximately 80 nucleotides in length. Their secondary structure includes four short double-helical elements and three loops (D, anti-codon, and T loops).
Source: Rfam by way of RNAcentral